GAGUCUUUGUACUUAAUAAGUCAAAACUUUCAACAACGGAUCUCUUGGUUCUGGCAUCGAUGAAGAACGCAGCGAAAUGCGAUAAGUAAUGUGAAUUGCAGAAUUCAGUGAAUCAUCGAAUCUUUGAACGCACAUUGCGCCCGCCAGUAUUCUGGCGG
Molecule: ribosomal RNA, 158 nt
Filed under: Mycothermus thermophilus
Lineage: Eukaryota; Fungi; Ascomycota; Sordariomycetes; Sordariales; Chaetomiaceae
Description: 5.8S ribosomal RNA
Rfam family: 5.8S ribosomal RNA (bases 25-158)
About the family: 5.8S ribosomal RNA (5.8S rRNA) is a component of the large subunit of the eukaryotic ribosome. It is transcribed by RNA polymerase I as part of the 45S precursor that also contains 18S and 28S rRNA.
Source: RNAcentral